GUGCUCGCUUCGGCAGCACGUAUACUAAAAAUGGAACGAUACGGAGAAAAUUAGCAUGGCCCCUGCACAAGGAUGAGACACAAAUUCGUGAAGCGUUCCAUGUUAAA
Molecule: small nuclear RNA, 107 nt
Filed under: Castor canadensis (American beaver)
Lineage: Eukaryota; Metazoa; Chordata; Mammalia; Rodentia; Castoridae
Source: RNAcentral